GCUGUGCCUUGAGGUCCUUUCUCCAGUCAGCAAAGAGGCCCUGCAUGGAGUGGCGGCACCACGCUCCCAGGGGAUGCCAAUACCUCACGAGAGAAAGACCUGAUGCAACCAGCACUGUUCACUGGCUAAUUUAAGAGACAUGCCCAGCCCCCUUCUCGCUGGUAGAGGUUGAUGAUGUCUUGGGAAGGAGGAAGAGCAGUACGCAACGCACGGGCACACAGAAUUCAGCUAAGGAGCUUCCGGUAAGGCUUUUGCUUGUCCUGCUAAAAGGGACAGACAGGUUACCUCCACCCCCACCUCCUCUUCAUACUGCCCUGAAUGCAGAUGUGAGGGUUGCAAAAUGGCUCCAGUAGCUUCCAACAUGAGGCAACAAGCAAGAUGAAAAGCCAACAGCUGAGAAUGGCACAGUAGAAGACCUGAAAAGUACCUGGGUCCCUGAGAGCAUGACUGAACACAUGAAC
Molecule: long non-coding RNA, 461 nt
Filed under: Homo sapiens (human)
Lineage: Eukaryota; Metazoa; Chordata; Mammalia; Primates; Hominidae
Description: HSALNT0216329
Source: RNAcentral